CUUGGUGGCCACAGCGGGGAGGCGCCCAGGAUGAGGGGCGAGGGAGAAGGCACACUGGGGAAGGGGAUGACAAGGCAGCCUCAGGGGCCGCUGCUGGCAGGGUCCCUUGGGGUAAGCACAGCUUAGAAGAGCAGUGAUCUUGGCUUGGAAUAAAGCAAACAGAUCUUGACUCCUCCGCCCCUACUAAGCUUUCCAUCCUCCUGGGACGCGGGAGCGGCCCGGGUGCGCUGGGAGGAGAGGAGGGACUCGCCAAACCUUUGGCCCCAGGUGAGCCAAAUGCAGAAACUAGCCCUCACUUAAUGCCACGCCCCUUUCUCCUUCUCCCCAAGCCCGCAGAAAAGCCUCGGGACAACCUCAGCGUCCCUUCUCCCCGCGUCCCAAGCGUCCCUAUCCGCCCCGGACUAUCGCACUGGCGCGGACGCCGCCUUGAUUACCCGCUGUCCACCCUGGUGGGCGCGCAGCCUCCCGGCAACCUCUCGCUCCUCACCCCGGGAGCGGCUGCAACCCGCGGGGUCCGAGGCAGCGUAGACGCCUGGGGGCGCCUCGGCGCGAGGAGGGAGUAAGCUCGCAGCAGGCGAGGGGUGUGGAUCCCGCGGGGAGCUUCCCGGGUCCAGCCUGGCCCGCUGAGAUGGGCUCGGUCUCGUCGGCACUGGCGCGGUCCCGCAACACCGUGGUGCAGUUGGGAUCGGCGCCACCGCAGCCCGAGGCGCCGCCGGCUGCUUCUGCUGCUGGCGGAGACCGAUUCGCGCUGCCCAGGACUCGGAGGCCGGGACCCGGGCGUGGAGCGGCCCCCGCCCCGCCUGCAGCUUGGGAGGCGCCGCCGGCCGCGGGCAGCUGGGAAGGUCGUGCGAAGUUGGCGAGCCCGGAGCUGAGCCCGGAGCUGUCUCCGGUGCUGAAGCAGGAGGAGGCGAUGUCCCAGCUGCACCUGCCCCGGAGCUGCAGCCCGGCAGAGGCAGGUGCCUGGAGAAUAGCAGGUGCAGAGAAGUGGAGCCCCCCAGGGGACACUGCGGAGGGCUCAGGAGAGCAAGGUAAGCCCGCAACUGACUGUGCUUGGAACAUUCUCUGUUUUCCUCUGUGCUUGCCAAGGCAUAAGGCAGCUCAGAAGUGACAAGCACCUGCGGUUCUAACCAUGUGGGAUGAGACACAAGGACCUGGGGGCAGGUACUGAUUCCAGUGCUGGGAGCUAGGACUGGAGCUGAAUUGCCCUAAACCUCUGUCCUGAGCCCUUGGACUUGGAGCAGCAGCAUCUCACAAGAGUUUGCUAAGGGUUUCCGGCUCCCAGGCCUCAGCCAGGAAGGGAACAGUAUCUCCUCCUGCAGGUAUCUUAGCCAUACAGGAAGCCUCACCCAGUCUUUUUGGUGGGAAGCUACCCAAGUGAAUGUGUUCAGCCUCAGCUGCCUUGUGGCCCAUCAAGUCCUGAUGUCUUGGUUUUAUUCCUGUUCAUGCCCUGCUUGUCCUUCAUCUCAAUCCCUUGUGCUGGAAUCAGGGUCCUUAGGUCCUGGUGAGUAGAGACCACAGACUACCCAAGAAGGCUCCCAGUUGGCCUUCGCUUGUUCAAGGUCCUGGAAUUCCCUACCCUUUGUGUUUGUGCUGCCUCUGCGUUAAGCGACAGUCCUAUGUUUGUGGCGUGGAGUCUUUUCAACACAGGCCGGCAGCCCCAGCAGAGCUGGCUAUAAGCACCGCUGUGUGGACAGCAGCUGAUCGGCACACUAAGGGGAAGGGGUAGAGGCAGGAAGAGCGAGCAAGCCUCUGUUUUUCUUUCCUUCUUCUUUUUUUUUUUUUUUUUUUAAGAUUUAUUUAUUUGAAAGGCAGAGUUACAGAGAGAGGUAGAGACAGAGAGAGGUCUUUCAUGCGCUGGUUCACUCCCCAGAUGGCUGCAAUGGCCAGAGCUGCACCUAUCAGGAGCUAGGAGCCAGGAGCUUCUUUUGGGCCUUCCACAUGGGUGCAGGGUCCCAAGGACUUGGGCCAUCUUCCACUGCUUUCCCAGGCCAUAGCAGAGAGCUGGAUCAGAAGAGGAGGAGCUGGGACUAGAAGCAGUACCCAUAUGGGAUGCUGGCACUUCAGACCAGGGCUUUAACCUGCUGUGCCACAGCGCCAGCCCCAGAGCC
Molecule: long non-coding RNA, 2108 nt
Organism: Oryctolagus cuniculus (rabbit)
Lineage: Eukaryota; Metazoa; Chordata; Mammalia; Lagomorpha; Leporidae
Source: Ensembl